UGGGGAAUCUUGCACAAUGGGGGCAACCCUGAUGCAGCGACGCCGCGUGAGCGAUGAAGGUUUUCGAAUCGUAAAGCUCUGUCCUAUGGGAAGAUAAUGACGGUACCAUAGGAGGAAGCCCCGGCUAACUACGUGCCAGCAGCCGCGGUAAUACGUAGGGGGCGAGCGUUGUCCGGAAUUACUGGGCGUAAAGGGUUCGCAGGCGGCAUGUCAAGUCCGAUGUAAAAGGCGAAGGCUCAACCUUCGUAAGCAUCGGAAACUGUCAAGCUUGAGUGAAGGAGAGGCAAGUGGAAUUCCUAGUGUAGCGGUGAAAUGCGUAGAGAUUAGGAAGAACACCGGUGGCGAAGGCGACUUUCUGGACGAAAACUGACGCUGAGGCGCGAAAGCGUGGGGAGCAAACAGG
Molecule: ribosomal RNA, 403 nt
Filed under: Fusobacteriota bacterium
Lineage: Bacteria; Fusobacteriati; Fusobacteriota
Description: Fusobacteria bacterium partial 16S ribosomal RNA
Rfam family: Bacterial small subunit ribosomal RNA
Source: RNAcentral